Long non-coding RNA from Marmota monax (woodchuck), 1711 nucleotides. RefSeq lists it as uncharacterized. The transcript has 3 exons. NCBI's taxonomy places the organism in Eukaryota, Metazoa, Chordata, Mammalia, Rodentia, Sciuridae. The record is from RefSeq and is a predicted model, not a curated record.
UGGCGGGGCACCUGCCAGUGUGACUGUAAUAAGUCCCCUCCUCCAGCAGCCAUAAGUACAGCGGCUGGGCCUUGGCGGCCUCCUCUAGCCGGGUGACAUCCUCACGCCUCAGAGGCACUUGCUGGCAGCCGCUGGGGGGACGCGGCAGGAGCCUCAAAUGCCACCUACUCCCCGGCCUCUCUCCCAGUUGCUGCUUCUAUUUUAGGCACCACAUUAUUUCCUGCUGUGAUUUUUUCAGGCUUCUAAUUCGGGCUCUGAGGAAGGGGCUGUACAUGCUUCCGCAUCAGUGGUUCUCAACUUUUUUGGGCAAGGGCCAUUUUGAAAAUCUGAUGAAGUAUGCGCCCUGCUCCUAGAAAAUGACCACAGCAACCCACAUGCACACAAGUCACUACAAUGAUGCUUGUAAUUUCGGGUGUGAGCAACUCCUGAAGUUGGACCAUCCAACCCUGGGAAUCCGAGGCUCCAGGUUAAAAGCCGCAGCUCAGUCCCAGGGGAGAGGUACCAGGAAUUGAACCCAGGAGGCACUUAAUCACUGAGUCACAAUCCCGGCCACCCUGCUUUCUUUUUUUAUUUUGAGACAAGGUCUUGCUAAGUUUCUUAGGGUCUCAUUAAGUGGCUGAGGCUGGCUUUGAACUUAUGAUCCUCCUGCCUCAGCAGGAUUACAGUCGAGUACCACAGCACCUGGCUAGUAAUGAACAUCUUUUAUUUUUCAUGAAAAAUCCCAUGUCAUUCUUUCACUUUUUACUUAGUAAGGUAGGAAAUUAAUAUCAGUCACUUCCUAUUUCAGUAGACAUUUGAGAAACCAGGUGUUUUUAGAAUUAGGUCUCUUGCUCCCUCCUCCCUUCCAUCCUACCCAUUUAUCCUGAUAGACAUCAGCCUUAAAAUCAGAAAUAAGAUCUGUUUUGCAACUACCAUACUAAUAAUUGAUUCAAGCAAGAAUCAUCAAUGGAAGUAAAAGUUAGAUGAGGAAAGGAUACUCACAGCCUUAAAUAAUCCUUCACCCAAUUAUUUACUAAUUAUAAGAAGAAAGAGUAACUUUUCCUGGCAGACAUCUCCUAAAUCAAGUGAUCAAAGUUAAUAUCAUCAAUCCCAAGACAGAGACAUCAUAUGGCUCCUGAUAUGACACACUGAGAAUACAACAUCACUUCUGUGGGAUUCCUGCCAGCAAAUGCCUAACUUGGAAUCUAAUUGUGAGCCCACGUCAGACUAACCAAACCAAGAAGCAUACUACAGAACUGACCUGUACUCAUGAAAAAUAUCAAUGUCACGCAAGACAAAGAAAGGCUGAGGAACUAACUGUUCUAUGGUAAAAACUCAAGAGAUAUGAAACUAAAUGGAAUGUGUGAUCUGGAUUGGAUCCUGGACUAUCUCUGUUAAGAACAUUAUUGGAAAACUGAAUGAACUUUACUAUGCAUUAUAUAUUAAGUAAUAGCAUUAUAUCCAUGUUAAGUUCCCUGAUUUAUGUAAGAAAGUAUCCAAGUUCUUGAGAAAGUCACACUGAAAUAUUUAAGGGGGAAGAAUUGCUAGUCUGCAACUUACUCUCAAAUGGUUAAAAAGAAAGAAAAUAAGUAUAAAUAUGUAUAUAUACACUCAGUUAUUAAAACAAAUGUAGCAAAAUGUGAACAUUCGGUAAACCUGAGUGAAGAAUACACUAGAGUUCUUUGUACUGGUUUUGCAGCUUUUAGGUAAAUUAAAAUGAUGUCAAAAUAAA